Molecule: long non-coding RNA, 426 nt
Organism: Gasterosteus aculeatus aculeatus (three-spined stickleback)
Lineage: Eukaryota; Metazoa; Chordata; Actinopteri; Perciformes; Gasterosteidae
Source: Ensembl
CUGUGCCAAUUAGUAGGUCAGGGGAAGACAAAGGAUGAGCCCUUGACAGAGUUUGGGGUUUUUCUUUGGAAUCGAAUGUUGGAGACUUCCUCCCUGGCAACCAUCACAGAAAAUGGGAUACAUGGAGCAUCUUCAGGGAUGAUGUUGGGAAGAGCAGUGACUGAAAAUGGAAAAAAGCACUUCAGCCAGUGGACAUCAAAGACUUUGUUCGUGCGGAAGAUUCAUGAUUGCAGAUGGUGUUGGAAAGAAUUACGUAAUGCAUUUGGCCACAUAUUUUAACGACAUUCAGACAGCAGAAGCAGCCUGGCGUAGCUCCAGGAGGCGGGCCACAAUCAACAUUGUUGAAACGUUUCCUUAACGAAAACGGAAAUUAUGUCUGUUAUGGUGUUCAUAUCGGUUUUAAUAAAAAUACAUUUUCAUAUUAUU